GAUGAACGCUGGCGGCGUGCCUAAUACAUGCCAGUCGAGCGAACUGACGAGAAGCUUGCUUCUCUGAUGUUAGCGGCGGACGGGUGAGUAACACGUGGAUAACCUACCUAUAAGACUGGGAUAACUUCGGGAAACCGUAGCUAAUACCGGAUAAUAUUUUGAACCGCAUGGUUCAAAAGUGAAAGACGGUCUUGCUGUCACUUAUAGAUGGAUCCGCGCUGCAUUAGCUAGUUGGUAAGGUAACGGCUUACCAAGGCAACGAUGCAUAGCCGACCUGAGAGGGUGAUCGGCCACACUGGAACUGAGACACGGUCCAGACUCCUACGGGAGGCAGCAGUAGGGAAUCUUCCGCAAUGGGCGAAAGCCUGACGGAGCAACGCCGCGUGAGUGAUGAAGGUCUUCGGAUCGUAAAACUCUGUUAUUAGGGAAGAACAUAUGUGUAAGUAACUGUGCACAUCUUGACGGUACCUAAUCAGAAAGCCACGGCUAACUACGUG
RNAcentral lists this ribosomal RNA (497 nucleotides) under uncultured bacterium. RNAcentral describes it as "partial 16S ribosomal RNA". It matches the Rfam family "Bacterial small subunit ribosomal RNA", at positions 28 to 507 of the family's 1533-position model. The record is from RNAcentral.